RNAcentral lists this ribosomal RNA (492 nucleotides) under uncultured bacterium. RNAcentral describes it as "partial 16S ribosomal RNA". It matches the Rfam family "Bacterial small subunit ribosomal RNA", at positions 28 to 507 of the family's 1533-position model. The record is from RNAcentral.
GAUGAACGCUAGCUACAGGCUUAACACAUGCAAGUCGAGGGGAAACGACAUCGAAAGCUUGCUUUUGAUGGGCGUCGGCCGGCGCACGGGUGAGUAACGCGUAUCCAACCUGCCCAUCACUUGGGAAUAACCUUGCGAAAGUAAGACUAAUACCCAAUGACAUCCCACGAAGACAUCUGAAUGGGAUUAAAGAUUUAUCGGUGAUGGAUGGGGAUGCGUCUGAUUAGCUUGUUGGCGGGGUAACGGCCCACCAAGGCAACGAUCAGUAGGGGUUCUGAGAGGAAGGUCCCCCACAUUGGAACUGAGACACGGUCCAAACUCCUACGGGAGGCAGCAGUGAGGAAUAGUGGUCAAUGGGCGAGAGCCUGAACCAGCCAAGUAGCGUGCAGGAUGACGGCCCUAUGGGUUGUAAACUGCUUUUAUAAGGGAAUAAAGUGGGUCUCGUGAGACUUUUUGCAUGUACCUUAUGAAUAAGGACCGGCUAAUUCCGUG